Non-coding RNA from Podarcis lilfordi (Lilford's wall lizard), 82 nucleotides. The record is from the annotation of a GenBank genome assembly. Lineage: Eukaryota; Metazoa; Chordata; Lepidosauria; Squamata; Lacertidae.
GCAGCUGGAUAGCUCACUUGGUUAGAGUGUGGUGCUGAUAAUGCCAAGGUUGCAGAUUCGAUCCUCGAAUGGAACAGCUGCA